Molecule: ribosomal RNA, 609 nt
Filed under: uncultured bacterium
Lineage: Bacteria
Description: bacterial SSU rRNA
Rfam family: Bacterial small subunit ribosomal RNA
Source: RNAcentral
GGGAGUACGAACGCAAGUUUGAAACUCAAAGGAAUUGACGGGGGCCCGCACAAGCGGUGGAUUAUGUGGUUUAAUUCGAUGAUACGCGAGGAACCUUACCAAGGCUUAAAUGGGAAUUGAUCGGUUUAGAAAUAGACCUUCCUUCGGGCAAUUUUCAAGGUGCUGCAUGGUUGUCGUCAGCUCGUGCCGUGAGGUGUUAGGUUAAGUCCUGCAACGAGCGCAACCCCUGUCACUAGUUGCCAUCAUUCAGUUGGGGACUCUGGUGAGACUGCCUACGCAAGUAGAGAGGAAGGUGGGGAUGACGUCAAAUCAUCACGGCCCUUACGCCUUGGGCCACACACGUAAUACAAUGGCCGGUACAGAGGGCAGCUACACAGCGAUGUGAUGCAAAUCUCGAAAGCCGGUCUCAGUUCGGAUUGGAGUCUGCAACUCGACUCUAUGAAGCUGGAAUCGCUAGUAAUCGCGCAUCAGCCAUGGCGCGGUGAAUACGUUCCCGGGCCUUGUACACACCGCCCGUCAAGCCAUGGAAGUCUGGGGUACCUGAAGUCGGUGACCGUAAAAGGAGCUGCCUAGGGUAAAACAGGUAACUAGGGCUAAGUCGUAACAAGG